Molecule: ribosomal RNA, 301 nt
Filed under: uncultured bacterium
Lineage: Bacteria
Description: partial 16S ribosomal RNA
Rfam family: Bacterial small subunit ribosomal RNA
Source: RNAcentral
CAGCCGCCGCGGGAAUACGUAGGGUGCAAGCGUUAAUCGGAAUUACUGGGCGUAAAGCGUGCGCAGGCGGUUAUAUAAGACAGAUGUGAAAUCCCCGGGCUCAACCUGGGAACUGCAUUUGUGACUGUAUAGCUAGAGUACGGCAGAGGGGGAUGGAAUUCCGCGUGUAGCAGUGAAAUGCGUAGAUAUGCGGAGGAACACCGAUGGCGAAGGCAAUCCCCUGGGCCUGUACUGACGCUCAUGCACGAAAGCGUGGGGAGCAAACAGGAUUAGAUACCCCCGUAGUCCCUGUCUCUUAUCC